UACGGAGGUGGCAAGCGUUGCUCGGAAUCACUGGGCGUAAAGGGCGCGUAGGCGGGGAGGUAAGUCGGGUGUGAAAUCCCUCGGCCCAACCGAGGAACUGCGCCCGAGACUGCUUCUCUUGAGUCCCGGAGAGGAAGAUGGAAUUCCCGGUGUAGCGGUGAGAUGUGUAGAGAUCGGGAGGAACACCGGUGGCGAAGGCGGUCUUCUGGACGGUGUCUGACGCUGAGGCGCGAAAGCGUGGGGAGCAAACGGG
RNAcentral lists this ribosomal RNA (253 nucleotides) under uncultured bacterium. Its description in RNAcentral is "partial 16S ribosomal RNA". It matches the Rfam family "Bacterial small subunit ribosomal RNA", at positions 524 to 776 of the family's 1533-position model. The record is from RNAcentral.